GACGAACGCUGGCGGCGUGCCUAAUACAUGCAAGUUGAGCGAUGAAGAUUGGUGCUUGCACCAAUUUGAAGAGCAGCGAACGGGUGAGUAACGCGUGGGGAAUCUGCCUUUGAGCGGGGGACAACAUUUGGAAACGAAUGCUAAUACCGCAUAACAACUUUAAACAUAAGUUUUAAGUUUGAAAGAUGCAAUUGCAUCACUCAAAGAUGAUCCCGCGUUGUAUUAGCUAGUUGGUGAGGUAAAGGCUCACCAAGGCGAUGAUACAUAGCCGACCUGAGAGGGUGAUCGGCCACAUUGGGACUGAGACACGGCCCAAACGCCUACGGGAGGCAGCAGUAGGGAAUCUUCGGCAAUGGACGAAAGUCUGACCGAGCAACGCCGCGUGAGUGAAGAAGGUUUUCGGAUCGUAAAACUCUGUUGGUAGAGAAGAACGUUGGUGAGAGUGGAAAGCUCAUCAAGUGACGGUAACUACCCAGAAAGGGACGGCUAACUACGUG
RNAcentral lists this ribosomal RNA (497 nucleotides) under uncultured bacterium. RNAcentral describes it as "partial 16S ribosomal RNA". It matches the Rfam family "Bacterial small subunit ribosomal RNA", at positions 28 to 507 of the family's 1533-position model. The record is from RNAcentral.